This 1363-nucleotide long non-coding RNA is filed under the name Nicotiana tabacum (common tobacco). RNAcentral describes it as "long non-coding RNA (NTAB_LNC016317)". The record is from RNAcentral. Lineage: Eukaryota; Viridiplantae; Streptophyta; Magnoliopsida; Solanales; Solanaceae.
CUAAAAGGAGAACCAACCCUCCCCCCAUGGCUGACGUCGCCCCUCCACGCUACCGCCGACAGAGUUAGUAACCGGCUGACUGGCAAUCAUGCUCGUCUCUCUCAUUCGUCUCGAAACAGUCGACUCCCUCAUCGACUGCGAAAUGGCAAAAUCUAGAAAGUACCACUACCCUAUCUCUCUUAUUCCGUCUCUUCUUUCUUUCUUUAUCACUUUUCUUCCAUCUCUAACUCGUUGUUGAUCUUGCAAGACUAAAACAUGCCGGGAUUUUCUAGAUUUGGCCGGAAAAACUUAUUCCGUUAGACCCCCUUGGUUCCAUAUAUCUUAUUUCUCAUUCUUAUGUACUGUUAUAGGCAAAAGAUUAUCUAAAAAUGAUUUGUUUGUUGAUAAAAUCAUAUCUGGCCAGAAAAUAUAAUUUUUCGGCUACCUUCGUUCCACCACAGAACUCGCCGGUGACCUCAAACCCUUGUUUAGCUGUGUUAAUUUUGUUUUAAAGGUGAAAGAGGUCUAUCGUUUCAACCUAGCCAUGGUAUGUUUCUUUGAGAUCCCCAUCAAACUAUAAUAUUACUACUUCGAUUUGGGAUACAUACUUGUUGCUUGGUUGAAUCUUUUGAGUUGAGCUAUUGAUUUUGCUCCUUUGAGUUUGCUGCUCAUUCUAAUACCAUUCUAUGUGUUACUUUUUUGAUGCCAUUGUUCUUUGCCUGAUGGCUUCUUUGGUAAGCUGAUUAAUAACGUUCGACCCCUUUGACUGUAUCGUUAAUUGAAACCAUUCUCAGUGUUGAGAAGGACGACUGAAAUGUUUAAUGUCGUUGCUUUAUUUCAUUCGUAAUUUUUUGCGAAGGUUUUUUUAAUCGGACAGUUACUGACCCCAACUAGGUGUUACUAGGCCGAUGAAAAAAUAGCCACUAUGUUAUUGAUGUCACGACGCUGCGAAUGACCCUCCGAAUCGGGCCCAAAAUAACGAGGCGAUAAUGAUGAACAUCAAAAAAUAAAAGACAAAAACGAGACAAGCCAAUAACGUUUGGAUGGCGACAUGGUCGGCCACCUUAGUCGCACCAAGGCGGUUCCUGUUCUCAUAUCUAGAUGAAUAUCAAAAUACGCAUCUGAGCCUCCUAUAUUAUUUUUAAAACUAUUUUAAAAAACCUUUUCCAAAGAACAUAAUCAAACCAUUUCCAAAAAUAUUUUCUAAAAAUAUUUUAAAACCAAAACCAUUUCAAAAACAUGUCAUUUAAUUUAUUUUUACCUUAUGUUAUUUUACUAACAAUUGUAUUCCUCUUAUCUUGCGAGGUACUAUCACAUGGAGUUACUUUCGGAAGAUGACACCCAAAGACGUAAAAACAAAUCCCUGUCAAGAUUCCCGCUUCGC